UGUGUUGUGGCUCAGUAGUAGAGCGCUUGCCUAGCAUGUGUGAGGCACUGGGUUCGAUUUUCAGCACCACAU
RNAcentral lists this transfer RNA (72 nucleotides) under Marmota marmota marmota (Alpine marmot). It matches the Rfam family "tRNA". Rfam says of the family: Transfer RNA (tRNA) molecules are approximately 80 nucleotides in length. The record is from Rfam by way of RNAcentral. RNAcentral also lists the same sequence under 1 other name. Lineage: Eukaryota; Metazoa; Chordata; Mammalia; Rodentia; Sciuridae.